This 74-nucleotide transfer RNA is filed under the name Pseudomonadota bacterium. RNAcentral describes it as "tRNA-Arg". It matches the Rfam family "tRNA". From Rfam's summary of the family: Transfer RNA (tRNA) molecules are approximately 80 nucleotides in length. Their secondary structure includes four short double-helical elements and three loops (D, anti-codon, and T loops). Lineage: Bacteria; Pseudomonadati; Pseudomonadota. The record is from RNAcentral. RNAcentral also lists the same sequence under 1 other name.
GCCCUCGUAGCUCAACUGGACAGAGCAUCAGUCUUCGGAACUGAGGGUCGUGGGUUCGAAUCCCGCCGAGGGCA